Long non-coding RNA from Cynoglossus semilaevis (tongue sole), 300 nucleotides. RefSeq lists it as uncharacterized. The transcript is spliced from 3 exons. Lineage: Eukaryota; Metazoa; Chordata; Actinopteri; Pleuronectiformes; Cynoglossidae. The record is from RefSeq and is a predicted model, not a curated record.
AAAAAAAAAACAUAGAAUUUUAAAUUCACACUCGAGGGCAAACACCAGAGGAUUUCCUGUGCGACUCACCUGAGCUCCUUGGACAUUCAACGAUCAUCAUAGAACCACAAGUCACAUCAAGUGCACCACGUCAGAAGAACAAACGAGAUGUGAUUUUCUGCUGUUUCCCUCUGACUUUACUGAGCUUGAAGUGAAGAAAGCACUGACCUGAAGGAGUCGAACAGCAUACUCAUUCAGGGAGCUGAUGACCUGGGUGCUACUGGGCCCCAGCUCUUCAGGAAGGGUCAGAGGUCGCACAUA